RNAcentral lists this ribosomal RNA (735 nucleotides) under Alcaligenes faecalis. RNAcentral's name for it is "bacterial SSU rRNA". It matches the Rfam family "Bacterial small subunit ribosomal RNA", at positions 52 to 753 of the family's 1533-position model. The record is from RNAcentral. Lineage: Bacteria; Pseudomonadati; Pseudomonadota; Betaproteobacteria; Burkholderiales; Alcaligenaceae.
UNCAUGCAGUCGAACGGCAGCGCGAGAGAGCUUGCUCUCUUGGCGGCGAGUGGCAUGGACGGCGUGAGUAAUAUAUCGGAACGUGCCCAGUAGCGGGGGCAUAACUAGCUCGAAAGAGUGGCUAAAUACCGCAUACGCCCUACGGGGGAAAGAGUGGGGGGAUCGGCAAGACCUCUCACUAUUGGAGCGGCCGAUAUCGGAUUAGCUAGUUGGUGGGGUAAAGGCUCACCAAGGCAACGAUCCGUAGCUGGUUUGACGAGGACGACCAGCCACACUGGUGACUGAGACACGGCCCAGACUCCGUACGGGAGGCAGCAGUGGGGAAUUUUGGACAAUGGGGGAAACCCUGUAUCCAGCGCAUCCCGCGUGUAUGAUGAAGGCCUUCGGGUUGUAAAGUUCACUUUUGGCAGAGAAGAAAAGGUAUCCCCUAAUACGGGAUACUGCUGACGGUAUCUGCAGAAUAAGCACCGGCUAACUACGUGCCAGCAGCCGCGGUAAUACGUAGGGUGCAAGCGUUAAUCGGAAUUACUGGGCGUAAAGCGUGUGUAGGCGGUUCGGAAAGAAAGAUGUGAAAUCCCAGGGCUCAACCUUGGAACUGCAUUUUUAACUGCCGAGCUAGAGUAUGUCAGAGGGGGGUAGAAUUCCACGUGUAGCAGGUGAAAUGCGUAGAUGUAUGUGGAGGAAUACCGAUGGCGAAAGGCAGCCAUUCCCUGGGAUAAUACUGACGCUCAGACC